GCGGCUCUGGCACCCACGUAUUCGAUCUUGCGAGAGAUAAAGGACAUCUCAAGCUCGGGUUUAUGGGUGUUGGACCAAGC
This is a microRNA precursor of Ciona intestinalis (vase tunicate), 80 nucleotides long. Ensembl annotates it as cin-mir-1473. The record is from Ensembl. NCBI's taxonomy places the organism in Eukaryota, Metazoa, Chordata, Ascidiacea, Phlebobranchia, Cionidae.